RNAcentral lists this transfer RNA (82 nucleotides) under Canis lupus familiaris (dog). It matches the Rfam family "tRNA". Rfam says of the family: Transfer RNA (tRNA) molecules are approximately 80 nucleotides in length. The record is from Rfam by way of RNAcentral. Lineage: Eukaryota; Metazoa; Chordata; Mammalia; Carnivora; Canidae. RNAcentral also lists the same sequence under 1 other name.
GCCUGGGUGGCUCAGUGGUUGAGCGGCUGGCUUCGGCCCAGGGCGUGACCCCGAGUCCUGGGAUCGAAUCCCACAUCAGGCU